GAUUAUUUGCAGACCUAAUAUAUAUGUGUAUAUAUAUAUGUAUGCGCGCGCGCGCGCGUGUGUGUGUGUGUGUGUGCUUAUUAUUCCGCAGUAGCCGCGAGUAGUUCGUGAGAUCGCUGCUAAGCGAGGGCGCGGCGCUUCUCCUUCUCGUGAAAAAAUUUACACCAAAAAGCCCAUAAAAGAAAGCUACCCAUAGCAACAAAUUAUCUCUCGAUGCAGUGUAUAGCAAGUAGCUUAAGGAUACUAAACGUAGACAGGAUCUUAUAUACAUGAUCGACCGUUCCCUGACGAUUCCAAUGCUAUACAAGUAUACAGAUACUGCGGGAUAUUUGCAGUAUUUACGCAAUCUACUGUUCCGAUAUCCUGCGGAACGUUCUCAGAAUCCACGUGUGCUGUGUGGUUAAAAGAUUUACUCAAGCGGAAAUGAUUCAAACGCCAUCUGCAUCGAUGUUUUCCGACCGAUCAUCUAUCGAUCUACGUGUGACAGACUCUCAGCCUCAUUCGUAAUUGAUAUUGAAGGUGACUGGAACCGCCUAAAUCGGUACUCAUUGUGUUGCGUUCGUCCGUCGCGAGAAACGCAAUCGAGAUUCAUCCCGUGACGAGAAACAGACAGAGACAGACAGACAGACAGAGAGAGAGAGAGAGAGAGAGAGAGAGAGAGAGAGAGAGAGAGAGAGAGAGAGAUUUAUUAUGCCCAAGCAUAGGCUGAAGGGCAAAGUAUGAGUUACAAAAGAAUGAAGAUAAAACAUCAAGAACAUAAAGAUAGAAGUAUAACGCAGAAUUAAUGAAACGCUACAUGAGAAUUACAGUAGUAAGGUAACUUAACCUAACCUAACCUAACUAAAAACUAAUAUUAAAACUAAGAACGCAAAGGACGAGUCUUAAGCAGAUUAAAAUCAAGAGUAAGCGUAAAAUAAAAAUAAAAUAAAAAUAAUAGCAUACGGCGUGCUACAGUGGUACAACGGAGAUCAGGCUAACUCAAAUGCUAGUAGAAAUAAUCGGAGGAGAAACUUGAAAGAUCCCAGUGAGGGAGCGGAAACAAUAUUGUCAGGAAGAGAGUGCCAGAAAUAAAUCGCGGAUAAAUGAAAGAAAUUACGAUAAGUAGUUCUAUGACAAGGAAUAUGAAAAAUAUGUGAUGAUGUCAAUGUGCAAUUAGAUCUCUCCUUAAUGAAGGAUCAAGAGGAAUAAAGAGUUCACUUAGAUAAGAGGGAGACUGAUGAUUAAGAAUGCGGUAAAUAAAGCAACCAAGGAAGAACAGCCUCCUAUUCUUAACAGAAAGCCACUCAAGACGACGUCUAAAUGGUGUGAUAUGUUCAUUACGCCUUAAACUGAAAAUAAAUCUGAUGCAACAGUUUCCGAGUCUUUGCAGCUUGAUGUUCAAAUCAUUGCUCAAUCCAUGAUAGAUCAGACAGCAGUAAUCGAUAUGAGGCAGUAUCAAGGUGUUUACGA
RNAcentral lists this long non-coding RNA (1449 nucleotides) under Monomorium pharaonis (pharaoh ant). Its description in RNAcentral is "uncharacterized LOC114255005, transcript variant X1". Lineage: Eukaryota; Metazoa; Arthropoda; Insecta; Hymenoptera; Formicidae. The record is from RNAcentral.